RNAcentral lists this ribosomal RNA (468 nucleotides) under uncultured bacterium. RNAcentral describes it as "partial 16S ribosomal RNA". It matches the Rfam family "Bacterial small subunit ribosomal RNA", at positions 28 to 507 of the family's 1533-position model. The record is from RNAcentral.
GACGAACGCUGGCGGCGUGCUUAACACAUGCAAGUCGAACGGAAAGGCCCUGCUUUUGUGGGGUUCUCGAGUGGCGAACGGGUGAGUAACACGUGAGUAACCUGCCCUUGACUUUGGGAUAACUUCAGGAAACUGGGGCUAAUACCGGAUAGGAGCUCCUGCUGCAUGGUGGGGGUUGGAAAGUUUCGGCGGUUGGGGAUGGACUCGCGGCUUACCAGCUUGUUGGUGGGGUAGUGGCUUACCAAGGCUUUGACGGGUCGCCGGCCUGAGAGGGGGACCGGGCACAAUGGGACUACGGGAGGCAGCAGACUCCUAUAGGGGGCAACAGUGGGGAGUAUUACACAGUGAGCGGGCGCCGGAGAAGGAGGCGCUGCGGGCGGGAUGACGGCCUGCGGGGUAUGAACCGCUGUCGCUUGAGACGCAGCGGUAGUGACGGUACUGGAUGAAUAAGCACCGGCUAACUACGUG